RNAcentral lists this long non-coding RNA (256 nucleotides) under Homo sapiens (human). Its description in RNAcentral is "non-protein coding lnc-MEMO1-3:2". Lineage: Eukaryota; Metazoa; Chordata; Mammalia; Primates; Hominidae. The record is from RNAcentral.
GUGAGCUUCAUCCAAUCAGCUGAAGAUGUUAAAAGCAAAAACUGAAGUUUCCUAAAGAAGAAGGAAUUCUGCCUCAAGACUGUAUCAUAGAAAUCUUUCCUGAAUUUUCAGCCUGCUGGCCUGCUCUAUGGAUUUUGAACUUGCCAUCCCCCACAAUCAUGCGAGUUCAGAACAUAAGCUCCUCUUCAAAGUAAACACAGGCACAUGAAAACUUGACAGAAAAGGAGUGGAGGAUGUGAACUGGAUAGAUAUGGGA